RNAcentral lists this long non-coding RNA (207 nucleotides) under Polistes dominula (European paper wasp). Its description in RNAcentral is "uncharacterized LOC107069822, transcript variant X1". Lineage: Eukaryota; Metazoa; Arthropoda; Insecta; Hymenoptera; Vespidae. The record is from RNAcentral.
AUAUAUAUAUAUAUUUAUUAUAUAUUAUUAUUGUGGUGCGCGCGCGAAAUAAAUAAGAAGAGAAAAGGAAUAGAGGAGUAUUAUCAUUUGGAAAGAUAUUUAACAGUUAAAUAAAAGUGACCACAAGAAAACUUGGGAUUACGAUGAAUGAAAUAUUUAGAGAAAGAAAGUGAGAGAGUGUUGGAGAGAAAAUUUUAAUUGCGACUA